RNAcentral lists this ribosomal RNA (269 nucleotides) under uncultured prokaryote. RNAcentral describes it as "partial 16S ribosomal RNA". It matches the Rfam family "Bacterial small subunit ribosomal RNA", at positions 524 to 792 of the family's 1533-position model. The record is from RNAcentral.
AACGUAGGGGGCCAGCGUUGUCCGGAAUUACUGGGCGUAAAGAGCGCGUAGGCGGUUUAGUAAGCGGAGGGUGCAAUCCCGAGGCUCAACCUCGGAACUGCUCUCCGAACUGCUAGACUAGAGUGCGGGAGAGGGUAGUGGAAUUCCUGGUGUAGCGGUGGAAUGCGUAAAUAUCAGGAGGAACACCAGUGGCGAAGGCUGCUACCUGGAACGUAACUGACGCUGAGGCGCGAAAGCUAGGGGAGCGAACGGGAUUAGAUACCCUCGUA